GAUUUAUUUUACCAUCUGAUGGCAACACACAAUUUCGUCUAAAAGCAGAGCUUGAUCUUUCUAGCAAAUACUUUCUUCUUUCAGAUAUUAGUCGAAAGGUUUUGCAUGUAUUUGAAAUAGAAGAAGAAAUAACAAAAAAUAUAAUUAAAAUAUCAUCUAUAACAGAAUAUUUUCUUGAUCAACCUAUACUUAGUUUUGUUAUUGCAGAUGUUUUGAAAUAUAAAGGCAUAUUCAAUAAUAAUUCAAAUAAAAUAAUUCAAGAUAAACAUAAUGAUUUUAAUGUGUGCCUAAAACUGGUGUGGAUCAAUGCCAAGUAAGAUUAUAAUACAAUUAUAAUUUUAAAUUUUAAAAAUCAUUAUUUUUAUAAUUAAAUUUUAUAUAUGUAUUUAGCCAAAACAUGGCAUAGAAAGGCAAUAUGCUUUGCAUGUUUUUGUAACAUCUAGCGCACAUCAGUAUGUGUAAAAUUUUGCCAAAGCAUUGUGAAAAGUAAGAAGAACUAUAUAUAUAUAACUAGUAGCCCGGGACGCCCCCUAGUGGGCGUUCUUUACAAAUUUCCAUCAGGCACGGUUCCUUUGACUUUUUUGUUCCUAUCA
Molecule: long non-coding RNA, 593 nt
Organism: Centruroides sculpturatus (bark scorpion)
Lineage: Eukaryota; Metazoa; Arthropoda; Arachnida; Scorpiones; Buthidae
Exons: 3
Source: RefSeq, a predicted model, not a curated record